ACUGGUUUUACAAGAUUAAAUGUAGGGGAAGAUGGAGCUGCCUGGGGUGCUACUGUCUGGAAACUCACCCAGCGACCAGAAUCAACAGUAGAGGCAUCAGAUUCAUCACAUUCCGGUAUUGUGGCAGGUGUAAGAUGGUUGCGGCGAGUAGGACUAGAGGGGGCUGAUACGGCAAAUAGAGGGUGGCGGAAGGAAUUCAGGGAGCCAUUUGAGAAGGAUUCCCAGUCAGGUUUCCGCUUUGAACCUCUCGAAGUAGGGGAAGAAAGAGGCGGGGUUACAGGAGCACUGUUGGAUAUUCGAAGAGGUGGGAGAGAUGUAGGAAUCGAGGCUAAAUUACGGAGGAAAGGGAGGAGGUAUGAAGAGGGGUUUCCAUCAAACCGAGUGGGGCUCGGGAAAGAGGAGGACGAUGGGCUGGCAUGGUAAGAGGGUACAGGACUUGGGAAGGAUGAG
RNAcentral lists this long non-coding RNA (450 nucleotides) under Vitis vinifera (wine grape). Its description in RNAcentral is "long non-coding RNA (VVIN_LNC001155)". Lineage: Eukaryota; Viridiplantae; Streptophyta; Magnoliopsida; Vitales; Vitaceae. The record is from RNAcentral.